CUCGCAACGCAGAGACUCAUACAGAGCUAAUAACUACCCAACCACCAGCUAUGCCCCCAAACACACAGAACAUGCUCCACAACACGUCUGUGAGCCUCACAACGCCUAGCCUGUCCUUAAUACCCACCUCAGCCUACGAUGUCACACAUGCUCCAUGGCAGGCCUCCCACCCUAGCCCGUGCAGCGGUAUCGCAACGCAGAGAUGUGCCUCGCAUGUAAACGUUCUCCCCAGAAUGCCAACGCUUGCUCUGUAAGGCAUCCAGUAUGACUGUAACACCUAGAUUUGCCUCCAGACUCAGGCUUGCACCACAAUACUCCCCCAGUGCCUCACAAUACCUACCACGAAUGCAGAGUGGACGGACCUGCCCCACAAUGUCCAGACUUAGAAAACCAAGACAUGCCCUAUCGGCCACAGGUUCCACAAAGCAAAAAUCUCCCUAUAUUGCACAGCCCAACUCUAUAUCAUAAACUCACCCCCACGCCCCACGGUAGGAACAGACCUCAAAUAUUCAGUCACAAAUUCAGUCUCGCCACUCAACACUGACACGUGUCUUACGACUCACACACGAGUUCCACGAUACCUAGAUACAGCUAACUUACAAUGGACAGGUAUACACUGUGACACAAAGGUUUCUCCCCGAAACACCAGAUUGCAUUCUGAUGCACAGAAUCCCCCCCAAACACACACACACAUGCACUCAUAGUGCCACAGGUGUUUACACUGACACAGAACUACGGGUGUAUCAGAAUCCCACAGACCAUACGUUCUUUCAGCCACAGCCGAAGACAUAUGUUUGCGCAAGUAUGAACAUAUAACCAGAGUUCCAGCAAGGACCACCUCAUGUUUAUGCAGAUACACGUAUACAUACACACAGAUGCAUACAAACACCCACAGUUUGGUGUGUAGGCACAAAGCAACAUGCAGUCACAGAUGCACACUCCACACUCGCACAGGCCCAGAGAAGCACGCAGAGACACAUGCAUGCCAACCUAGGCGUCCAGAGGAUGUGUUUACUGAUUCAUAACCUCAAAGAUGCAAGAACACAAAUGCAUGCACACACACACACACACACACGCACACAUGGAAAGACGCAUAAAUGCUUCUAGAGGCUCAUGAGGUGUGGACUCAUCCUCAGACACCCCCAGACAUUUAUGGAGAAAUGUAGACAAGUACAUAUGAGCCCACACAGACACAUAGGCAUUUGCAUGUGUGCACACAGAGCCACAGGCAGGUGCAUGGAGUCAUCCGUAUGCAGACACAGGCGUAUGCAUGUUCAUUGCUAUGCAGAGACAUAGAGACAUUUAUAAAAAACUGAAAUAUGGAGAUGUAUUCAUAAGUAGACACGUGUGUUUUAAACACGUAUCUGGCAUCUUUAUGCUCAUAGAGUCACAUGAAUUUACACACAGAGGCAAGUUGUUAUUAAAACACACCUGCAUACACAUGGUCCUGCCUGGACCUGCAACCUGGGUGCUCAUGCUGACCAUGAAAACCUAGAAACAUGCCCACAUGCACAUGUAUAGAAAUGUACCUGGGGAAGCACGUGGGGAUAUUCGUGCAUAUGGGUGUGCGUAUGGAACCACACAAGCAUGCCGUGUGCACACAUAGAUGCACUCGUACAUGGAGACAUACACAUGCACGCAGACAAAACAGAGAUGGACCCAUGAAGACAUCUCUGCAUGAAUAUGAGCAGACACAUUUAGAGAGAGACGUUUAUAUACAGAGAGAGAUGCCUCCCGUGUAGAUACAGGGGAGAGGAGAGGGAGCGGGGAGACGGAGGUUGGUCGGCUUGGCAGAGACACUUUCUUAUGCAGAAGCUCACACCUACACACAGAGACACACAGGCCUAGAGACCCAUACGAAGAUGUGCACAGGCGAACACAGCUGCACUCACACACUCACUCAGAUGCACGAGAGGAGCAAAGUCACACACACACAUGCAGAAACUCAGGUAUAUUCACGGAGACCCAGGCAAGUGCACAGAGACAGAGAUGUACGUGGAUCCUCACCCAUACGGACUCACAAAGAUACAGACUCAGAAGCUUGUGCAGGUGCCUGCGGGGACAGGUACACAGGUUUGUACACUUACAGACAUUGAGCACGGAUGUACUGAUAGAUGAGGAGACCCACAGACAUACCUGAACAAACGCAGAGGCACACAGGGACCUCCAUGUGCUGCAGGUGCAGCCCUAAAAAGACAAAAAAAGAAAAA
RNAcentral lists this long non-coding RNA (2210 nucleotides) under Sus scrofa (pig). RNAcentral describes it as "lncRNA (ENSSSCG00015069085.1)". The record is from RNAcentral. Lineage: Eukaryota; Metazoa; Chordata; Mammalia; Artiodactyla; Suidae.